UGUCCUUUCGUUUCCACUCCCAUCCCCUGCCUGUACCAUACAAAUCCCCAUUACAACCUGGAACCCUAGCGAAGUUUAAUUUACGCUCUCUCCAAUCUCACUUUUUCUCUCGAUCUGGAACCCUACCCUCUCCAUUGGGAUGACGAAUACUGGAGAUGUAGAACACCGAUUUGAAGAAACCCUAACCGUUUUUGUGGAAAUAGAAAGAGGCUGGGAUGUGUGAUACUGAUAGUUGAUAGUGAAUUAAUCAGAUGAAAAUGGAAUUGUUGUGCAGGAAAUAAACAUGUUUCAACGUGUUGAUUGAAGGGUUAUAAAUGAACAAGAUUCAUAUCAUCAUCCUCUCCUUCAUCCCCUCAAAUUCUCAGCAGCAACAAAUAUGAAGAUUAUUUGAAUCCACGGUCUCGUAACGUCGGUGCUUGUGUUGUUACUUUCACUGCUGGUGGACUUGGUGUUCUCAACGCCAUUGCGGGUGCUUACUGAGCUUCGUUGUUUUUAGACUGUUACUUGUUAUUAGAUGAUGAAGAGAACAUGGGGAAUAUGACACCAACACAUCAUCUUCAGUUGUAAAUGUAGGGUUCGCUUCAAGUACAGCAAUUCAACCAGUUGGCAUCACAUAACUGUCAUGUUAGGCCAUCCAUAGUGGUCAUGUGAAUGUGAAAUAGUAGUUCAGCCACAUAGGCAGGAGGGCGCAUUAACUACUGGGAGGAUAUUGGAACGAUCAAGUCUUUUCAUAGCGUAAUAGCGCUCUUACAAAUGAGGUACACAAGUUUCUUUUUUAUGAUCCGCCACCAACCAAGAUUGAAAAUUACAAGGUAAAGUCAUACUCAAAAUCCAAACCUUGCAGUCGUUGCCGUAAUCCUACAAAUGACUUCGUACUUAUCCUAGCAAAUCCAGAUUUGAAUACGAAUUUCAGCAACGUCAUAUGAGAGGUCACCAUUGCACCCUUUAGUAGCAUUCAUGAGGACUCUUCCUGAUCAAUGUUAUGGGACAUUUCCGUAUAUCACGAGCUUCCUUAUGCGUAGGUUACUAUUUG
This is a long non-coding RNA of Helianthus annuus (common sunflower), 1033 nucleotides long. RefSeq lists it as uncharacterized. Lineage: Eukaryota; Viridiplantae; Streptophyta; Magnoliopsida; Asterales; Asteraceae. The transcript has 9 exons. The record is from RefSeq and is a predicted model, not a curated record.